UACGUAGGGUGCGAGCGUUGUCCGGAAUUAUUGGGCGUAAAGAGCUCGUAGGCGGUCUGUCGCGUCGAUCGUGAAAACCUGCGGCUUAACCGUGGGCGUGCGGUCGAUACGGGCAUGACUGGAGUUCGGCAGGGGAGACUGGAAUUCCUGGUGUAGCGGGGAAAUGCGCAGAUAUCAGGAGGAACACCGGUGGCGAAGGCGGGUCGCUGGGCCGAAACUGACGCUGAGGAGCGAAAGCGUGGGGAGCGAGCAGG
RNAcentral lists this ribosomal RNA (254 nucleotides) under uncultured bacterium. Its description in RNAcentral is "partial 16S ribosomal RNA". It matches the Rfam family "Bacterial small subunit ribosomal RNA", at positions 524 to 776 of the family's 1533-position model. The record is from RNAcentral.